UGUGAAAUAUCACGGCUGGAAACAGCAUCAUCCGAGACAAAUGAAGUGCUUCUGAAUUUAAGAAGAAAGAGAGAAGGGUUAGAAGAAAAAUUAAGAGAAAUAGCUUCAAUCGUUCAAGAAGCAGAUAGGGAAAUAUCUGUGCUGAGAAGUACAGCAGCAAACACGUCCAAAAAUAUGUCUGAAAUCAGGGAAACAAUUAAGCGCUUUGAGAGAGAAAAAAACGAGUUUAAGCCAUCAGUUAUCCCAAUUACAAGAUGCUGGUAAUACUUUGAAUAUUUAUGGUCCCUUUAUGCAGCAACUUAACGAACGGAUAAAUCAAGCCUGUGCUCGAGGUGCUUUCAAGCAUAGACCCAAAGGACCUCUCGGUCAGUAUGUUAAAGUGCAGGAUGCAGAAUGGGGUCCAGCAAUAGAAAGAUUUUUUGGACCGAAUUUGUUGAAAAGCUUCAUUGUUGACAAUAAAAAAGACAAUGAUACUCUCAUGAAGAUAAUGCGAGAGGUUUGCCGCAAUCAGAAAAGGCCGGAUAUACACUGUGGAACAUUUAAUAACACACUCUAUCCUGUACACAACAAAGAGGUCAAGUACAGACAGUACCAAAGUUUGUUUGGAGCUUUAGAAAUCAGUGAUCCAGAUGUUGCAAAUACCCUCAUCGAUUUUCAUAGCAUUGAAACUGUUCUUCUGAUUGACAGUAAUGACAUUAUCUGUAACUUGAUGGAGAAUGUUCAAAGAGUUCCGAGAAAUUGCUCCAGGUGCAUCAACAAGUUGCUGACACGUACUAUCCAGCCCCUAGCUAUCGUCAGUACGAUGGGUUAGAUCCCCGUAAAAAUCAUCGCAGCCAAUGGCUCCAAGUUAGCAUUGAUGAAGCGCGAAAUUCAUUGGCAGAAAAAAUUGAAGACAUGAACCAACAGAUUGCCUCAGAGAGUAAUAAACUUCCGCCAUUACAACAAGAUUUGGAGGCAAACCAUGCUGAAAUAAGAAACUGGCAAAGUAUAGCUGGAGUCAAAAGAAAGGAAAUAGCUGACAUUCGGCGAGAGCUCAACAAUGAGGAAGAAACCGACACCGAAGAGUAUCGUUUGCCUCUUCUAAAAGGUGAAUUACAAGACCUGAGAAACGAUAUCACACGAACAGAGACAAAAAUUAGCAACCUGAGGGAAGAGACAGAAACUUUGAAAAAUCAAAUGAAAGAAUCAAAGGAUGCAUGCGAGCAAUCGCAAAAGUUUGUUACCACCGGUGAAGAUUCUGAAAUCUCCAAGGAGCUUGAUGCCAAGAAGGAUCAGCUGAAAGAGUUGGUGGCUGAAAAGAAGCGUUUGAAUAACAGGGUGGUUGAAGCCUCAAAAAAAAUAACGAUAAUUGAAAAAAAAAUACAAGAUUUGAAGAAACAAGAAGAAGAUGAAAGACAGGAUGCGGCCAAGCUUGGUCCAGAAAUAGAAACUCGAGAUCUUGAAACCAUUGACCGGGAUCAUCGAGAAGUGGAGGCACAUAUCAAAGAAGCUGGUAGGGAGUCGCAUAUCCCAUAUGAAGAACUUUGCGUGGAAAUUCUACAGAAGAGAAACUCUCUCAAGAAAUUGCAAAAGCCCUGGAAAAAUUAGCAGCAUUAUUUGAGGUUGGUAUCUCCAAACUUACAGAACAUCUGAAUGAGAUCUUGAAAAAUCUGGACAGAUUUUUUUAAAAAAAACUACGAUGAAUUUCGCAUUUUUCCCCCUUUUUUUUCAGGAGAAAAAGGGGGCUUCUAUUUCGUAAGAUGUAUCUAUAUGCAUUUACUCAUAAAAAGAAAAGGGCACUUAACCUCACAGCAAGAGUUAGUGCAAGAAUUUCCAAGUAGCAAUGGAAAAAAAAUUAAAAUUCGAAUUAUUGUUUAUCUCUUUACUUGCAGGGUGCCUGCUGGGUUUGUUAAUGGCGGAAAUCAUGAAAAAAUAAAUUCAUCCAGAACUUACAGAAUCCCCUAAUAAAGACAGGAAUUUUUGCCCCAUCAUCUCUGUGAGAUGUCUGUUGCCUCUGUGUUGAUGGAACACGUAUUCUGAGAUUAUCAACUAUUUUUAAAUUUAUUGAUUGUUCAUUUCUUUUGUUUAAAAAAAUAUAAUCGCAAAUUUCUCAAAUCUAAGUCUGCAUGAGCCACACCAUAACUCGCUUUCAAAGACUUACUUCCUCACUAUCAAUCAAGAAACAACUAAUCUAAAUUGCCAUUGAGUGGAAAGUGAGGUGAGAUGAAACAACUCUUUCUGUUACUAACCCAUGCUCAAAAGGUGGAGGUGUUAGCUCAUUCAAAUUACCCAGGAUUGACAUGUAGCAUCACUGUUGAAAUAGGUCCUCAAAAAUGUUUGCUCUGCCGUCAUUAACCCUUUCAUUACCACGCCCAAGUAUACUCGGGCUACGAAAAGCGCGCGCUGUGCACCACGCCCGAGUAUUCUCGUUUUCGAAAAGUCACUUAUAGUCCAUUAUGAGACUUUUUAUUCGGCAUUAAAAUCCGUAAAUGGCAACGCAUCAGUCCCGGACUCGGGUGACCGGACCGCGCACCGAACACCCUCUUUUCUUCAGCGACCAUUGGUCGGCAACCCGUCCAUUGUGAGGGUAGGAACAAUGGGCACCCUUCAUCCCUUCCGAAUGAGCC
Molecule: long non-coding RNA, 2606 nt
Filed under: Bemisia tabaci
Lineage: Eukaryota; Metazoa; Arthropoda; Insecta; Hemiptera; Aleyrodidae
Description: lncRNA ENSSWEETPG012712
Source: RNAcentral